This is a long non-coding RNA of Camelus dromedarius (Arabian camel), 911 nucleotides long. RefSeq lists it as uncharacterized. The transcript has 3 exons. NCBI's taxonomy places the organism in Eukaryota, Metazoa, Chordata, Mammalia, Artiodactyla, Camelidae. The record is from RefSeq and is a predicted model, not a curated record.
UUCCUCCUGAAGACCCUGAUGAAGAUGGAGGAGCCGGUACUGGUGCUAUUCCCUUGGGGCCACCUCUACCACUGGCAGAGCCCCGAUCCCUGGUCCGACUCCUUUGACCUCCCAAGUCUCAACAGAAACAUCCCUGACAUUGAGUACGAGCAGUUCAUUGCAGGGUUCAAUUGGUGAUAAUAAUAGUAACCAAAGCAAUAGCAAACCCUUACAGAACUCUGUCCUGCUGUUCCAUGAAUGCUGUGUUCAUGACAACCCAAUGAGUUCGCACCACUAUGAGUUCCACUUUAAAGAUGGCCUUGCCUCCUGCUUCAGAGAGAAUGACAUGUUACUGGAAAGGAUCUCGCUCACCUGCAGCAAACCUGCUCACCUCAAAUUUUAUCUGUCUCUCUCCCACCUGGACUCUAGCUGUAGUUGUUCUUAAUUUAGUGAGUUUAGUUGUCAUAUAUAUACACAGUUAAAAGCAUAGCACACUAUAGGCCACCUUCUAGGGCUUACUUUUUCAAUUUAACAUAGAGUGUAAGAUUCAUCCAUUUCAUUGCAUGUACCUGCAGUUCAUUUGUUUUAACUGAUCUUAAAUAUUGUGUGUGUGAAAAUAACACAAGAGAAGGGUAAGCCAGGAGUCAGGAUGAUGGUUAUUUCCUAUGAGAAGAGGCCAAGAACAGGAUAGGGAAAGAGGACACAGUAUGUCUCUGUCAGUAUUCCUGUUAUGAUGCUGGGUGAUAUGUUCAUAACUGUGUCUUUUAAUAUUAAUUUUAAUACAUAAAUACCUCUGACAGGCAUCUAUGAUGAGAAUGUGUCAUGAACCAAGACAUACAAUGGGUAAUAUUACAUCAUUAUUGUUAUGUAAUCUUGUUAUAUUAUAUAUUAAUGAUAAUCUUACAUUAUUUGUUAUGGGUUAUAUAUUACAU